GUGACAUGUUAGGACUCUAAUGAGUUUAAGACCUAAUGAGCCUCUUAAGUGAGGCCGCCAGCAACCUUUUUUUUCUCUACAUUUUAAAAAAAAAACUAAAAUUCUAUCCUUAUCGGUGGAUCACUAGGCUCGGGGAUCGAUGAAGAACGCACCAAACUGCGAUAAUUAUUGCGAACUGCAGAAGUAUUGAGCACAAAAGUUUUGAACGCAAAUGGCCGCAUUGAGGUCAAACUCUUUGCAACGUCUGGUUCAGGGUCAUU
This 260-nucleotide ribosomal RNA is filed under the name Meloidogyne incognita (southern root-knot nematode). RNAcentral describes it as "5.8S ribosomal RNA". The stretch from base 105 to 258 matches the Rfam family "5.8S ribosomal RNA". From Rfam's summary of the family: 5.8S ribosomal RNA (5.8S rRNA) is a component of the large subunit of the eukaryotic ribosome. Lineage: Eukaryota; Metazoa; Nematoda; Chromadorea; Rhabditida; Meloidogynidae. The record is from RNAcentral.